UAAAUCUCAUAAUUUUUCAAUACUGGACAAAUUAACUAAUUUUUUUUACUAGGUUAGUAGAUUCAAGUCAUUUUUGAAAAAAAAAAAUAAUCAACUUAAGUCAAAGUUAAAGUCUGGUAAUUUAGAUAAAAUGAUAUUAUUUACAUUAAUAAUAGUUAAAUUUUGAACUUUGACACCCCCUAGUUUAUAUUUUUGUGGGCCCCAUUGGUUUGCUCAUAUAUUGUUUUUAAAAUUAAUUUUAGUUUAUCGAAAUACUCAAUGCAAAUUAUUUUUACUUUAAAACUUUUAUUGUUUUAAGUUUUUAAAUAAUACUUGUAAGUAACCUGAUCAUAAUAAAUCUAUAUCCAAUUUACAGCUUUGCAUUA
Cinara cedri is the source of this 365-nucleotide non-coding RNA. NCBI's taxonomy places the organism in Eukaryota, Metazoa, Arthropoda, Insecta, Hemiptera, Aphididae. The record is from the annotation of a GenBank genome assembly.